Molecule: non-coding RNA, 84 nt
Organism: Bombyx mori (domestic silkworm)
Lineage: Eukaryota; Metazoa; Arthropoda; Insecta; Lepidoptera; Bombycidae
Source: Rfam
UUAACACAAAUUUGUUUAACGUUGGAACGUUUGCCUACGCUUGCCGCUAGGGGCGCUGUUCCAACUGCAUACAAAUUUGAGUUA